Molecule: long non-coding RNA, 1974 nt
Organism: Rattus norvegicus (Norway rat)
Lineage: Eukaryota; Metazoa; Chordata; Mammalia; Rodentia; Muridae
Source: Ensembl
CGGCUUGGGACUGCCUGGCGGGGCGGGGCCGAGCGGGGCGGGACGGGAUGCUGGCUCCACUCUAGGCCGCUGGCCGCCAGUCGCCUUGCGCUCUGUGGCGCCUAGACAUUGCCUCCAGUAAUCUGGCGGUAGAGGGGAACUCGUCAGCGCUGCGAGGGGGGUGAAAGUUCAGACCCUGGGCUGGGUGACGUCAGCGAGGGGGCGGGGCGCCUCGGUGCUUCUCGGCGGAGGGGAAAGUCCGGGCUGUUUCAGUUGAGCCAAGGAAUGGGAGGCGCCCUAGCCUGCCCGCAGGCCACAGCGCUUGGAAUCCUGCCUUCCCUGCUAUCUCCCUGAGGCAAGGGGUGUGUGGGAAUGUCUCUUUACUGUUUGGAGGCUCAAGCCUUUCUUGCUUAAGGGUGGGGCCACACAGGCUUUUGAGAUUUUUUUCCCCUUGUAGUGUUUGGCUGAAAUGGAGCAGUUAUUGUGCAGAUGUUUUCUGUCUAGAUAGAAAAAGCAGAUUUUUCUUGCAGGGUGGUUUUUUGUUUGUUUAUUUCGUUUUUCGUUUUUCUGUCUGUGCCUGCUCUUUCUUGGGUGCUGGCUUCUCCAAAACCAGUCUGGAAGGUUGGAGGAGUGUUUCUCAAUGAGUCUCCACCUUACUUAUUGAGACACAGUGUGUCACUGAACCUGGAGCUCACUGACUCAACUUGACUGGGUAGCCAACAAACCCUAGGGACCCUGCUAUCCCUCAGCUUCUCCAGGAUUGUGAUUCCAUGCAUGUAUCACCGUGCCCAGGACGUUCUGACAAAUGCUCUAACAUUAAGCCAAGUGAAAUCAGCCAGUGACAAAAAUACAAAUGUUCUGAUCACACUUAACUAAGGGCUCGGGUGUGGCGCAGUUGUAGAACACUUGACUCCAUAAAGCCAUGGAUUCCAUUGUCAGCAGUGCAAAAAGAAAUAAAUGAACUUAUAUUUAUCAAAUUUGUUAAGCAUUUCUGGCUUGUUCAUUUGUAUAUGUUCAGACUGUCAUCUGCUAUCAAUUUUCUUCUACCUGAAAGAAACAUGAACAUUUCUUGAACUGUCAAUUGCGCUGAGCCGUCUCUCCAGCCCCUCCCCCCUUUUCCAUUCUUUGGAGAUCAGACUCUCAUAAUAUCCCAGGCUGACCUUGAAGUUGCUAGCUAGCAAUUACGGAUGCCUUUGAAUUUCUGAUAUUUGCUCUCCUGCUCGAGUGCUGAGAUUAUGGCGUGUAUCACCAGAUUUAUGUGGUGCUUCAGAUAUGGCCAAGGGCCUGUGCAUGCUAGGUAAACCCUCUAUCGACUAAGCCGUAGACCUAUACCUGACUCCCAUUUAUUUUUGCAUUUACAUUUUGGUAGUUUAUAUAGCUAUAUCUUCAAGUCCACAUUGUUCUCCAAGAGGAUGAAUGACACCUAUAAACAAAACGAACAAACAAACAAAACAAAACCCUUAUAGCAUCAGAGUUAACAGAGAAGUAUCGGACAUUUUCUCCUUAAAGUAGAAGUCAGGCAAUAAUGUUCAUUCUCUCCGCUUCUCUUCAAAGCGUGCACAUCAGAAACUGGUUCUGUUUGCACAUGACAUGACUAUUUCUUUAGAAAACCUUUAGGAAUACAUUAAAGUCACAGAAGCCAGAGUUCAUGUUUCUAAAACUCAGUUUUACUUUGACAUGCUACCAAAAAACAAUUGAAAACAUACAAUUUAAAAAAUGACAUUCCAUGUGUAACCUCAUCAAAACCAUUAAAAUGAUUCAAUAAAGCUAACAUGUAUAAACAAAACGUCAAAGUAACAAAACAUGUUCUAGAGAAAGGAAAGGGAAAUGAAGUAUACAAUGAGAUAGGCCAAACCCACAAAUCAAAAGGCCUGGAAGUGUUGGCAUGUCAGUCUGCCCUAAAUCGAUCUCCAGAUUCAAGGUAAUCCAUACCCAGAUAUCCACAGUUGUUUGGGUAAAUACUGAAAAUCUAGUUCUAAAGUUUAUAUGGCGGGG